UAACACGUGGGGAACCUGCCCCUAAGUCUGGGAUACCAUUUGGAAACAGGUGCUAAUACCGGAUAAUAAAGCAUAUCGCAUGAUCAGCUUUUGAAAGGCGGCGUAAGCUGUCGCUAAGGGAUGGCCCCGCGGUGCAUUAGCUAGUUGGUAAGGUAACGGCUUACCAAGGCGACUAUGCAUAGCCGAGUUGAGAGACUGAUCGGCCACAUUGGGACUGAGACACGUCCCAAACUCCUACGGGAGGCAGCAGCA
Molecule: ribosomal RNA, 252 nt
Filed under: uncultured Lactobacillus sp.
Lineage: Bacteria; Bacillati; Bacillota; Bacilli; Lactobacillales; Lactobacillaceae
Description: partial 16S ribosomal RNA
Rfam family: Bacterial small subunit ribosomal RNA
Source: RNAcentral